RNAcentral lists this ribosomal RNA (497 nucleotides) under uncultured bacterium. RNAcentral's name for it is "partial 16S ribosomal RNA". It matches the Rfam family "Bacterial small subunit ribosomal RNA", at positions 28 to 507 of the family's 1533-position model. The record is from RNAcentral.
GAUGAACGCUGGCGGCGUGCCUAAUACAUGCAAGUCGAGCGAACAGACGAGGAGCUUGCUCCUCUGACGUUAGCGGCGGACGGGUGAGUAACACGUGGAUAACCUACCUAUAAGACUGGGAUAACUUCGGGAAACCGGAGCUUAUACCGGAUAAUAUAUUGAACCGCAUGGUUCAAUAGUGAAAGACGGUUUUGCUGUCACUUAUAGAUGGAUCCGCGCCGCAUUAGCUAGUUGGUAAGGUAACGGCUUACCAAGGCAACGAUGCGUAGCCGACCUGAGAGGGUGAUCGGCCACACUGGAACUGAGACACGGUCCAGACUCCUACGGGAGGGAGCAGUAGGGAAUCUUCCGCAAUGGGCGAAAGCCUGACGGAGCAACGCCGCGUGAGUGAUGAAGGUCUUCGGAUCGUAAAACUCUGUUAUUAGGGAAGAACAAAUGUGUAAGUAACUAUGCACGUCUUGACGGUACCUAAUCAGAAAGCCACGGCUAACUACGUG